CAGAGAACACUACAAACUGAUGUCCUGUGUUUGCAGAGCUGGAGGAGCUGGGACAGCAGCUGCCUUCCCACCAUGCACAGCGACAGUGCUUCAUCCUUGCCCUAGGAGGCCGUUUCCCAGGAUGAGAGGAUAAUUCACUCUCUAUAGCCCAUUCAAUCUUCAGCCUCU
Molecule: small RNA, 168 nt
Filed under: Aotus nancymaae (Ma's night monkey)
Lineage: Eukaryota; Metazoa; Chordata; Mammalia; Primates; Aotidae
Description: TUC338 (ENSANAG00000011562.1)
Source: RNAcentral